RNAcentral lists this long non-coding RNA (549 nucleotides) under Myripristis murdjan (pinecone soldierfish). RNAcentral describes it as "lncRNA (ENSMMDG00005012444.1)". The record is from RNAcentral. Lineage: Eukaryota; Metazoa; Chordata; Actinopteri; Holocentriformes; Holocentridae.
GAAAUACCUGUGGUCACAGCCUAUCAGAUCAAGGCAUUUAAGAGCCCAGUGGCAGUGGUUUUAUCUCGGUUGAGGCAGCGGCGUGCAGCUGAAGCCAGUUCUCCUGAUUGAGUGCACAGUUUGGGAGGCAUAGUGAUGCUGGUUCACAAGCUAGUGUGUGUAGUACUGGUGGCCUCAACAAUAGGCCGCUCAGAGGGGGUUCCUCAAUACAUCCUUGGCCAGUGGAUCACAGAUGACAAUCGGCAGUGUGAAGGCUGUGACAGACAAUAUCUAGAGAUCGAGGAGACUGCAUAUCCCAGCGGUCCACCAGUAAUGUCUGAACUGCAGAAAAUGGAAGACCAGCAUUUUUUAACUUCUCCUUCAGUGCCAUUUCUCAUGACAGAACAAGAUUCACCUGGAGAGGAGCAGGCUGUGUGGAAGGUGUUCUUGAUAGUGGCCAUUUUGCUGCUGUCUGCAACGGGAACUCUGGCUGUGACCUGUUACCUUUGUUUCUGGGACGUACACAAGAGCAAAUAUCAGCCUCUUAGAGAACUGUCUGCUUUAAUCUAA